ACAUCCCGAAACUAAGCGAGCUACUCUAAAAUAGCCUACCGAGCCAACUCAUCUCUGUUACAAAAGAGUGAGAAGAUUUUAAAGUAGAGGUGACACACCUAUCGAGCUUAGAGAUAGCUGGUUAUUCAAAAAACGGAUUUUAGUCCAACUUUAAGUUUUUUUAGUUUUCCUAAACAAUUAAUAAACUUAAAAGCCAUUCAAAUAAGGUACAGCCUAUUUGACCAAGAAAACAAUCUAUAAUUUAGGGUAACGACUUAUCAACAUGACCAAGUAGGCCUAAAAGCAGCCACCUUCAAAAAAGCGUCCAAGCUUCUUCACAUCUUAUCUUUAAUUCCCUUAUUAAUUCACAACCCUCAACCCAUACUGAAUGACUCCAUACCCAUAUGGAAAACAUUAUGUUAGAACUAGUAACAAGAAAAUGAACUUCUCCAAAAUGCAAACAUAAGCCAAAAUAAACAUCUUACCGGCACUUACCGCUAUAACCCUAGUAAAUUUUCCACAAGAAAGCUCUACUAACUCCAGCGCUAGCCUUACACCAGA
This 540-nucleotide ribosomal RNA is filed under the name Stumpffia yanniki. RNAcentral's name for it is "partial 16S ribosomal RNA". The stretch from base 5 to 121 matches the Rfam family "Bacterial large subunit ribosomal RNA", at positions 714 to 852 of the family's 2925-position model. Lineage: Eukaryota; Metazoa; Chordata; Amphibia; Anura; Microhylidae. The record is from RNAcentral.